Molecule: ribosomal RNA, 586 nt
Filed under: Pseudomonas sp. StFLB170
Lineage: Bacteria; Pseudomonadati; Pseudomonadota; Gammaproteobacteria; Pseudomonadales; Pseudomonadaceae
Also listed under: 2 other names
Description: bacterial SSU rRNA
Rfam family: Bacterial small subunit ribosomal RNA
Source: RNAcentral
ACGGGUGAGUAAUGCCUAGGAAUCUGCCUGGUAGUGGGGGACAACGUUUCGAAAGGAACGCUAAUACCGCAUACGUCCUACGGGAGAAAGCAGGGGACCUUCGGGCCUUGCGCUAUCAGAUGAGCCUAGGUCGGAUUAGCUAGUUGGUGAGGUAAUGGCUCACCAAGGCGACGAUCCGUAACUGGUCUGAGAGGAUGAUCAGUCACACUGGAACUGAGACACGGUCCAGACUCCUACGGGAGGCAGCAGUGGGGAAUAUUGGACAAUGGGCGAAAGCCUGAUCCAGCCAUGCCGCGUGUGUGAAGAAGGUCUUCGGAUUGUAAAGCACUUUAAGUUGGGAGGAAGGGUUGUAGAUUAAUACUCUGCAAUUUUGACGUUACCGACAGAAUAAGCACCGGCUAACUCUGUGCCAGCAGCCGCGGUAAUACAGAGGGUGCAAGCGUUAAUCGGAAUUACUGGGCGUAAAGCGCGCGUAGGUGGUUUGUUAAGUUGGAUGUGAAAUCCCCGGGCUCAACCUGGGAACUGCAUCCAAAACUGGCAAGCUAGAGUAUGGUAGAGGGUGGGUGGAAUUUCCUGUGUAGCGGUG